ACAUAGCCUGAUAGAGGUUACG
RNAcentral lists this microRNA (22 nucleotides) under Bombyx mori (domestic silkworm). Its description in RNAcentral is "bmo-miR-282-3p". Its record names the gene bmo-miR-282-3p. Lineage: Eukaryota; Metazoa; Arthropoda; Insecta; Lepidoptera; Bombycidae. RNAcentral also lists the same sequence under 1 other name. The record is from miRBase by way of RNAcentral.